GACGAACGCUGGCGGCGUGCUUAACACAUGCAAGUCGAACGGAAAGGCCCCUUUGGGGGUACUCGAGUGGCGAACGGGUGCGUAACACGUGAGUAACCUGCCCUUGACUUCGGGAUAACUUCAGGAAACUGGGGCUAAUACCGGAUAGGAAUCCUUGCUGCAUGGUGGGGGUUGGAAAGCUUCGGCGGUUUUGGAUGGACUCGCGGCUUAUCAGCUUGUUGGUGGGGUAGUGGCUUACCAAGGCUUUGACGGGUAGCCGGCCUGAGAGGGCGACCGGCCACAUUGGGACUGAGAUACGGCCCAGACUCCUACGGGAGGCAGCAGGGGGGAAUAUUGCACAAUGGGCGGAAGCCUGAUGCAGCAACGCCGCGUGCGGGAUGACGGCCUUCGGGUUGUAAACCGCUUUCAGCAGGGGCGAAGCUUGUGGUGACGGUACCUGCAGAAGAAGCACCGGCUAACUACGUG
RNAcentral lists this ribosomal RNA (465 nucleotides) under uncultured bacterium. RNAcentral describes it as "partial 16S ribosomal RNA". It matches the Rfam family "Bacterial small subunit ribosomal RNA", at positions 28 to 507 of the family's 1533-position model. The record is from RNAcentral.